This 497-nucleotide ribosomal RNA is filed under the name uncultured bacterium. RNAcentral describes it as "partial 16S ribosomal RNA". It matches the Rfam family "Bacterial small subunit ribosomal RNA", at positions 28 to 507 of the family's 1533-position model. The record is from RNAcentral.
GAUGAACGCUGGCGGCGUGCCUAAUACAUGCAAGUCGAGCGAACAGACGAGGAGCUUGCUCCUUUGACGUUAGCGGCGGACGGGUGAGUAACACGUGGAUAACCUACCUAUAAGACUGGGAUAACUUCGGGAAACCGGAGCUAAUACCGGAUAACAUGUUGAACCGCAUGGUUCAACAGUGAAAGACGGUCUUGCUGUCACUUAUAGAUGGAUCCGCACCGCAUUAGCUAGUUGGUAAGGUAACGGCUUACCAAGGCAACGAUGCGUAGCCGACCUGAGAGGGUGAUCGGCCACACUGGAACUGAGACACGGUCCAGACUCCUACGGGAGGCAGCAGUAGGGAAUCUUCCGCAAUGGGCGAAAGCCUGACGGAGCAACGCCGCGUGAGUGAAGAAGGUCUUCGGAUCGUAAAACUCUGUUAUUAGGGAAGAACAAAUGUGUAAGUAACUAUGCACGUCUUGACGGUACCUAAUCAGAAAGCCACGGCUAACUACGUG